CAGCCGCCGCGGGAAUACAGAGGGUGCGAGCGUUAAUCGGAUUUACUGGGCGUAAAGCGCACGUAGGCGGCUUUGUAAGUUAGAGGUGAAAGCCUGGAGCUCAACUCCAGAAUUGCCUUUAAGACUGCAUCGCUUGAAUCCAGGAGAGGUGAGUGGAAUUCCGAGUGUAGAGGUGAAAUUCGUAGAUAUUCGGAAGAACACCAGUGGCGAAGGCGGCUCACUGGACUGGUAUUGACGCUGAGGUGCGAAAGCGUGGGGAGCAAACAGGAUUAGAGACCCGCGUAGUCCCUGUCUCUUAUAC
RNAcentral lists this ribosomal RNA (301 nucleotides) under uncultured bacterium. Its description in RNAcentral is "partial 16S ribosomal RNA". It matches the Rfam family "Bacterial small subunit ribosomal RNA", at positions 509 to 807 of the family's 1533-position model. The record is from RNAcentral.